This 500-nucleotide ribosomal RNA is filed under the name uncultured bacterium. Its description in RNAcentral is "partial 16S ribosomal RNA". It matches the Rfam family "Bacterial small subunit ribosomal RNA", at positions 30 to 523 of the family's 1533-position model. The record is from RNAcentral.
AUUGAACGCUGGCGGCAUGCCUUACACAUGCAAGUCGAACGGCAGCACGGGAGCAAUCCUGGUGGCGAGUGGCGAACGGGUGAGUAAUAUAUCGGAACGUGCCCAGUCGUGGGGGAUAACGUAGCGAAAGCUACGCUAAUACCGCAUACGAUCUACGGAUGAAAGCGGGGGAUCGCAAGACCUCGAGCGAUUGGAGCGGCCGAUAUAAGAGUAGGUAGUUGGUGAGGUAAAGGCUCACCAAGCCGACGAUCUGUAGCUGGUCUGAGAGGACGACCAGCCACACUGGGACUGAGACACGGCCCAGACUCCUACGGGAGGCAGCAGUGGGGAAUUUUGGACAAUGGGCGCAAGCCUGAUCCAGCAAUGCCGCGUGCAGGAUGAAGGCCUUCGGGUUGUAAACUGCUUUUGUACGGAACGAAACGGCGAGCUCUAAUACAGUUUGCUAAUGACGGUACCGUAAGAAUAAGCACCGGCUAACUACGUGCCAGCAGCCGCCGUAA